AGUGAACGCUGGCGGUAGGCCUAACACAUGCGAGUCGAACGGCAGCACAGUAAGAGCUUGCUCUUACGGGUGGCGAGUGGCGGACGGGUGAGGAAUACAUCGGAAUCUACUUUUUCGUGGGGGAUAACGUAGGGAAACUUACGCUAAUACCGCAUACGACCUACGGGUGAAAGCAGGGGAUCUUCGGACCUUGCGCGAUUGAAUGAGCCGAUGUCGGAUUAGCUAGUUGGCGGGGUAAAGGCCCACCAAGGCGACGAUCCGUAGCUAGUCUGAGAGGAUGAUCAGCCACACUGGAACUGAGACACGGUCCAGACUCCUACGGGAGGCAGCAGUGGGGAAUAUUGGACAAUGGGCGCAAGCCUGAUCCAGCCAUACCGCGUGGGUGAAGAAGGCCUUCGGGUUGUAAAGCCCUUCUGUUGGGAAAGAAAAGCAGCAGGUUAAUACCCCGCUGUUCUGACGGUACCCAAAGAAUAAGCACCGGCUAACUUCGUG
RNAcentral lists this ribosomal RNA (492 nucleotides) under uncultured bacterium. Its description in RNAcentral is "partial 16S ribosomal RNA". It matches the Rfam family "Bacterial small subunit ribosomal RNA", at positions 29 to 507 of the family's 1533-position model. The record is from RNAcentral.